RNAcentral lists this transfer RNA (89 nucleotides) under Ruminiclostridium sufflavum DSM 19573. RNAcentral describes it as "tRNA-Leu". It matches the Rfam family "tRNA". From Rfam's summary of the family: Transfer RNA (tRNA) molecules are approximately 80 nucleotides in length. RNAcentral also lists the same sequence under 1 other name. Lineage: Bacteria; Bacillati; Bacillota; Clostridia; Eubacteriales; Oscillospiraceae. The record is from RNAcentral.
GCCGAAGUGGCGGAACUGGCAGACGCACAGGACUUAAAAUCCUGCGGAGUUAACCCUCCGUACCGGUUCGAUUCCGGUCUUCGGCACCA